AGUUAGUAAAAGAGAAUGUUAAUCAAAGACGAACCGGUAACACCGAAGAAGCAAUAGCCAUUUCAUUACAACCCUGUUUUCCAGCACCUAUCACUUCACUACCUCAGUUCUGUUCCAGGAAUUGGUGUAUCUUCACUUAGAAGAUUGUCGUUACCAGGUGAUGCAAGUAGGCCCUUGCAGAAAACUGCUACUGAGUUGCAAGGCUGUUGUCACUUGUUGAAAAUGGUAGAAUAGGAAGCGAAGUGAAAUCAUUUGAUGACAGCUUCCAGGCACUAAGACCUCUCAAAUCUGUUCCUGCCAUUUCAUCGGAUAAAACAGGAUUAGCAUUUACUAGAGUCAAAUCUCAAGCCUUGAUAUCUCCAAAGUCACGUCCCGCCUCACCUAGUAGGACCACAACGGUAUCUCCUUCUAUUUCAAGAGGCGUCAGUCCAUCUCGAUCAAGGCCAGCAUUCACCUUCCUGUCGAUCAUCGUCUNN
This 476-nucleotide long non-coding RNA is filed under the name Lathyrus oleraceus (garden pea). RNAcentral's name for it is "Pisum sativum (pea) long non-coding RNA (PSAT_LNC029369)". Lineage: Eukaryota; Viridiplantae; Streptophyta; Magnoliopsida; Fabales; Fabaceae. The record is from RNAcentral.